AAUGGGAUGACUGAUUUAGGUGGUAAAUUGUAAAUUUAUUUAAGGUUUUAUACCUCUCAUUA
This 62-nucleotide transfer RNA is filed under the name Penthicodes atomaria. Its description in RNAcentral is "tRNA-Tyr". Lineage: Eukaryota; Metazoa; Arthropoda; Insecta; Hemiptera; Fulgoridae. The record is from RNAcentral.